Molecule: ribosomal RNA, 3440 nt
Filed under: bacterium
Lineage: Bacteria
Description: bacterial LSU rRNA
Rfam family: Bacterial large subunit ribosomal RNA
Source: RNAcentral
CAAGCGCAAGGGUAGGUGGUGGAUGCCUAGACACUAAAUGGCGAUGAAGGACGUGGCGUAACUGCGAUAAGUCUCGGGUAGAUGUGUAGCAAUCUUUGAUCCGGGAAUUUCCGAAUGGGGCAACCCUCUGUGGCAAACCCGCAGAACUAUACGUGUAACAGCGUAAAGAGCGUACCUGGGGAAGUGAAACAUCUCAGUACCCAGAGGAAAAGAAACUAAUUAAAGUAUUCCCUAAUUAGCGGCGAGCGAAAGGGGAUAAGCCUAAACCCAUUUUUAAAAUGGGUGUUGCAAGACUAAAACAUUUACGCAACUUAUAGCUUAUAGCUUCGAAUGAAGCUAAAAGCUAAAAGCUAGUGUAGGUUGGUUACAAAUCGAUGUGUUAGCUGAAGUCGCUGGAAAGCGACUCCAUAGAAGGUGAUAGGCCUGUAAGCGAAAACAUAUCGACCAACUCGUUUUUGUUCUUAAGUACCUCAUGGCAAGAUAACCCUGAGGGAAUCCGGGAGUACUAUCUCCUAAGGCUAAAUACAUUUAGUGAUCGAUAGUGAACAAGUACCGUGAGGGAAAGGUGAAAAGCAGCCCAGUAAGGGCGAUGAAAUAGUACCUGAAACCACUUACUUACAAGCAGACGGAGCUCAACCGUGCUUCGCACGGAGAUUUCGACAUUUCGAUAUAUCGAUAUUUCCGCGCGGAGCGCGGCGAGUGACGUCGUGCCUAUUGAAGAAUGAGCCAGCGAGUUUACGUACACUGCAAGCCUAAUCCGCCUCGCGCGGAGAAGGCGCAGGGAAACCAAGUCUUAACAGGGCGACCUUAGUAGUGUGUGUAGGACCCGAAACCAGGCGAGCUUACCUUGGUCAGGGUGAAAUUCGAGUAAAAUUGAAUGGAGGCCCGAACCGGUAGAUUGUGCAAAAUCUUCGGAUGAACUGAGGUACGGAGUGAAAUGCUAAUCGAGCUUGGUAAUAGCUGGUACUCUCCGAAAUAGCUUUAGGGCUAGCGUUUGUUUAUAGUUUCUUGCAGGUAGAGCGACUGGUUGAAGUGGAUAGGGCGCAAGCUCGCCUCUUCAGUCAAACUCCAAAUGGCAAGAAAUGUUAACAGGCAGUUAGACUACGGGGGCUAAGCUCCGUGGUCAAAAGGGAAACAGCCCAGAUCGUAAUCUAAGGUCCCUAAAUUCUUACUAAGUGUUAAAGGUGGUCUUUAUCCUUAAACAGAUAGAAGGUUGGCUUAGAGGUAGCCAUCCUUUAAAGAGUGUGUAACAACCCACUAUUCGAGGUUAUUGGCGCCGAAAAUUUAUCGGGGCUAAGUAAGAUACCGAAGAUACGGAUUAUAGAAAUCCUUCGGGAUUUCUAUAGUGGUAGGAGAGCAUUCCUAUGGCGUUGAAGGUUGAUCCGUGAGGACAACUGGAGCAGUAGGAAGCGAGAAUGCUGGCAUGAGUAAUCGCAAAGUCGGUGAAAAACCGACUCCCCGCAAAUCCAAGGUUUCCUCCGCAACGGAAAUCGGCGGAGGGUUAGGCGGCCCUAAGGCAAUGGCGAAAGCCGUAGCCGAUGGACAGCUGGUCAAUAUUCCAGCCCCUUCAUAUUCUUUGUCCGAUGGGGUAACGGAGUGUAGUAGGUCUUGCAUCUUAAUGGUUUGGUGUCUUUUAUCGAGGGUGAGACGUUAGUAAAUCUGCGUCUCUGCAUUUAAUUGCAAACUUCAGAGAAAAGGCGAGUGGAAGGUUUUCCUUCUGCAAGUAGACCGAGCACGCUUCCAAGAAAAACCUCUAAGGCCGGAUAUGAAGUCCGUACCGCAAACCGACACAGGUGGAUGAGGCGAGAAGCCUCAGGGGAACGGGUGAGUCCUCGUUAAGGAACUCGGCAAAAAAUCGACCGUAACUUCGGGAUAAGGUCUGCCCUGCUUAGGCAGGGCCGCAGCGAAAGUCUCUCUGGCGACUGUUUACCAAAAACACAGCUCCCUGCGAACUCGCAAGAGGAUGUAUAGGGGGUGACGCCUGACCGAUGCGAGAAGGUUAACGUCGGAGGUGCAUGAAACUUCGGUUUCAUAUGCUUACUGACCGAAGCCCUCGUCAAUGUCAGCGAUAACUAUAAUCGUUCUAAGGUAGCGCAUUUCCUUUCCGGGUAAGUUCCGGAGCGCACGAAAGGCGUAACGACUGGAGAACUGUCUCAACGAGGAGCCCGAUGAAAAUGCGAUUCCCGUGAAGACGCGGGAUACCGGCAGCAAGACGAAAAGACCCCGGAAGCUUUACUGUAGCUUGAUAUUGGCACUAAUGUAUAAAUGCGUAGCAUAGUGGGGAGGCUUUGAAACUCUACUUUCGGGUAGAGUGGAGCCAUCAGUGAAAUACCCAUCUUUUACGCGUUAGUGUCUAACCCAAUGUGACAAACACAUUAGGAACAGUGUCUGGUGGGCAGUUUAUCUGGGGCGGAUUCCUCCUAAAGAGUAACGGAGGAGUUUAUCAAGGUUGGCUUAGCCCGGAUGGAAAUCGGGCUGGACGUAUAAAGGCACAAGCCAGCUUAACUGCAAGACCUACAAGUCGAGCAGGUGCGAAAGCAGAACUUAGCGACCCGACGAAUCUUUAUAGGAAGGUCGGAGACAACGGCUAAAAGCUACUCCGGGGAUAACAGGCUGGUCGCGUCCGAGAGUCCAUAUCGACGACGCGGUUCGGCACCUCGAUGUCGGCUCACCACAUCCUGGGGCUGGAGAAGGUCCCAAGGGUUUGGCUGUUCGCCAAUUAAAGUGGUACGCGAGCUGGGUUCAGACCGUUAAGCAAUGAAUGGUCUGUAUUCGAGAAACAACAUAAUGUAGCAAAAUGAUUGUGAUCAUUGACUGUUUAACAGUCUGAAUCACUAUUGAGGGUAUUUUCGUCUUUUAAAGAAGUAUAGAGAUAGAACAAUCAACCACGGCGGUCUAUUACAGUAAUGUAAUAUGAUGAAGUCGAUUUAUAUCGAUAAAACCCAUUAAGUGGGCAAUAUCGAGGGAACCCUUCGAUUCGACACUAUGUGUCUCACUCAGGGUAAACCUUGUCAUUAAAUUGGCAGGGCUUGCCCCGAGCGAGGCGCUUAGCGCCGAGUCGAGGGGGCCCGUAGAGACUAAACAUCGACCUUCCUUGUAAAAGGAAGAAGCUAUAGUCCUAUGCAGCGAGUAAUCGCUGAUAACAUGCGUGAGACAGGUUGGUCUCUAUCUGCUGUCGGCGCGUGAUGUUUGAGGGAAGUCGACUCUAGUACGAGAGGACCGAGUUGAACGAACCUCUGGUCUACCAGCUUUGCCACCAGGUGAAUCGCUGGGUAGCUAUGUUCGGUAAGGAUAAGCGCUGAAAGCAUCUAAGCGCGAAGCCCCACCCAAGAUUAAACAUCAGGUCCGCUUUUAGCAGACCAAAAUUCCUGGAAGACUACCAGGUUGAUAGGCUUCAGGUAAAAGUCCGGUAACGGAUUAAGCCGAGAAGUACUAAUAAU